Molecule: long non-coding RNA, 349 nt
Organism: Wasmannia auropunctata (little fire ant)
Lineage: Eukaryota; Metazoa; Arthropoda; Insecta; Hymenoptera; Formicidae
Exons: 3
Source: RefSeq, a predicted model, not a curated record
AAAAAAUUUGUUUUAAAAAAUUUGAGAAUUUAUCUGUAAAUGACGAAAAAACAAUAGCCGAAUAAUCGAAUUUGCAGCUUUUCUGUCAAUAAACUUUUAGCUAACGUCUUGCAAAAUUUAGUCUCGACAACUUGGCUGUUUUGGCAUCUGAAAUUGAAAGCAAUGGAGAAACAUUAGUAGAGAAUCUCUGCAGUGCGCACGACGAGAAAAACGGCCGAAUAAUCGAAGCAGCUUUUCUAUCAAUAUACAAGCCGUACAGAAUAGAAUGCAACAUAAGUAUAAAUCAGAAUAUAAGGAUUUUUAAGAAAAAAGAAGAAGUAACGUGUUUCUCUAAAUAAUUUUUUCUAAU